CCUACGGGGGGCUGCAGUGAGGAAUAUUGGUCAAUGGGCUUACGCCUGAACCAGCCAAGUCGCGUGAGGGAAGACUGCCCUAUGGGUUGUAAACCUCUUUUGUCAGGGAGCAACGCCGGCUACGUGUAGCCGGACUGAGAGUACCUGAAGAAAAAGCAUCGGCUAACUCCGUGCCAGCAGCCGCGGUAAUACGGAGGAUGCGAGCGUUAUCCGGAUUUACUGGGUGUAAAGGGAGCGUAGGCGGCAGGGCAAGCCUGAUGUGAAAGCCCGGGGCUCAACCCCGGGACUGCAUUGGGAACUGCCCCGCUCGAGUGCCGGAGGGGCAGGCGGAAUUCCUAGUGUAGCGGUGAAAUGCGUAGAUAUUAGGAGGAACACCAGUGGCGAAGGCGGCCUGCUGGACGGUGGACUGACGCUGAGGCUCGAAAGCGUGGGGAGCAAACAGGAUUAGAUACCCUUGUAGUC
This 462-nucleotide ribosomal RNA is filed under the name uncultured bacterium. Its description in RNAcentral is "partial 16S ribosomal RNA". It matches the Rfam family "Bacterial small subunit ribosomal RNA", at positions 338 to 795 of the family's 1533-position model. The record is from RNAcentral.